RNAcentral lists this ribosomal RNA (406 nucleotides) under Microphrys bicornutus. RNAcentral describes it as "partial 16S ribosomal RNA". It matches the Rfam family "Archaeal large subunit ribosomal RNA", at positions 2037 to 2639 of the family's 2987-position model. Lineage: Eukaryota; Metazoa; Arthropoda; Malacostraca; Decapoda; Majidae. The record is from RNAcentral.
CAUAAUCAUUAGCUCUUUUAAUUGAAAGCUUGUAUGAACGGUUAAACAAAAGAGGUUCUGUCUUCUUUUUUAGAAUUUGAAUUUAACUUUUAAGUGAAAAGGCUUAAAUUGUUCAAAGGGACGAUAAGACCCUAUAAAGCUUUAUAAGUGAUAAAAAUUUAAUGAAUUUUAUAAUAAAAAAAGAUUUUUAUUAUUUAUUGUGUUGGGGCGACACGGAUAUAAUUCAAGGUAACUGUUAGAGAGAGCAACAUAAAAUUUAUGAAAGUUAAUGAUCCUUAAUAAAGAUUCAAAGACAAAGUUACUUUAGGGAUAACAGCGUUAUUCUUUUUGAGAGUUCCUAUCGAAAUAAGAGUUUGCGACCUCGAUGUUGAAUCAUAAGAUCUUUAUAAUGCAGCAGUUAUAUAAG